UAUCUGAACUCCUCUCUUCCUUUAAGGGC
RNAcentral lists this non-coding RNA (29 nucleotides) under Rattus norvegicus (Norway rat). Lineage: Eukaryota; Metazoa; Chordata; Mammalia; Rodentia; Muridae. The record is from RNAcentral.